CCCGCUGAUGACAUGGUGACGAAGGGAAACAAACCCCACCGGCAGGAGCGAGGCUGGCUUGUUCGCACUAGUUUAGCUGACCCAUUAAAAUCAGAUCCUUCAUUAAAUUAACACAUCCUACUUCUCCCGGCGACGGGCAGCGGCGGCCGCGGCGAAGGAGGAGAAGGGGAUGACAGGUUGCGCCCAGAGGGAUGUAUAACGGGGAAAUCCUCUCCGCGCCGGUGUAGGGUCGUCGGAGGGAGAGGGUCGCUGGUGACUGGAACGGGAUGCAAUGGUGCAGGUCGAGAACUUUCAGAAAAGAGGGUGGCGGUGGCUUCACCACACUAUCUAGUUUCAGUGGAAAUCAUUGACUAAGGUCGACGACCAGGAUGCACUCUCUAUGCUGAUCUCCAAAGUUCGGGCUUCGGCUUCUCAGUUAUGCAGACAAGAGCAUGAUGAUUAGUUGCUUUUCCUUUGGGCCGGCAGCUUAGCUUUAUUUGGGCCUUUCUCUUCCGGCCUGCGUGUCGUGUACUGGCGAGGGAGCCAUGUACCUGACUGUCUUCUCUUUCGUUUGAACCGUCGUUGGGGUCUGGCUGGUGUGUGGUACGUUCUGUUAUGUGGUUGCUACCUGCCUUAUGGCUUUAUUUAUAAAGUCGGGUGUAUGCCUUUCCUCUAAAAAAAGAUUAUGUUUCAUUUCAGUUAAGUACGACAGAGGAGUACUCCCACCUUGAAAAGAAGAAACUCUGAAUAACGUCUCAGUAGAAACAAGUGGAUCAGUGCCUUGGUUGGGCAUUGCGGUUGUGCAGCCUAACAACCCAAGUUCAAUUCCUAGAAUUGACAAGUGAUACAUAUGGGUUUUCCCCAUUUAUUGAGGAUUAAGCUUGGUCUGUGGUGGAACCACCCAUCACAGAACUAUCGCUCAGGCCGACCCCCUCAGCGCUGCCACCCCAGGGCGGCGCUAGGGGGAUCAGAUCCCAGCGCCGCCAGCCUCCCGCCCCACAGCGAAAGAUCCUGUCGCCGUUGCCACUGGCGUUGGCCGCGGCAGCGCCCGGUGCUGAAGCGCUGAGGCAGGAGGAGGCGGCGGCAACCACUCGAGGCGGUUGGGGCACCUCGGGCUGGGGGCUUCGCACCAUGGCCAGGGCGGCUCCCUGACCAUGUGGCGACAACCGAUGACCCCAUGGCUGGUGGUGCUGGCGAUGGUAGGCAUGGCGGCGGCCGCAGAUCUGGAUCCCACCUAGAUCUGUCGUCGAUUCUUCGCUUGGAUGGUCGGCGGCGCGAUGAGGGCUCUGGUGAGAGGAUGGAGGAUCUCCGCCGGAGUACCGGCGGCGACAUACGUCUUUUCAUGGCGAAGCUCCACAUGGUUUCAGCCAGCCGCGAGAUCGGGAUGACGCGACUUCCAGCCAAAAUCGCGCCUGACUGUGGUCUUGGCGGACGAUGGUGGUGUCUCUGACGUCGUUUUCUUCUCGGGGCAUCGUUGUUGCAGGUCACGUCAACUCGAUCGGGAUGUUUCAAGGGAAACACUAGAUAUAGGCCUACCGGAUCGGACGAUGACGGCGCCUUUGGUGUCGUUCUCCCACAUGGGGGCAUCGUCUUGGAGCAAGCGCUGGCUGGAGGGGACAAGAGGAGGAGCGGUGUUACAUCUACCGCAAGACUGACGACGGAUCCCGGCGGCAUGGCGCUGCGGUGUUUCGGCGAUGGGCGCGUGUGGAUGGAUACGUGUACGAUGGUGGCGUUGUCUUGGCGCCGACGACAGGUUGUCAAGGUUGGUGCAUCAGUACCUGCUCUAGAGAUGGAUCGGUGGAAGACGGCGGCAGCGACCUCUGAGAGUGCGCCGGAUCGGUAUGUGACCCAGUCCCGACAUUGUGGCUUGGCUGGGGCAUCUAGCUUUACAUGUUAGAAUUUGGUGUGAUGUCUGUUUGGUAUUUGGCUCAGACAUUCGGCACCCCUUCAUCAAGGGAAUAGGAGUAGCGACAGGUGUUGCCAAAAUGGUGGCUUCAGGCUUACUGAUGUAUUACUUUGUAAGAUCUUUAUGAAUAAUUAAUAAAAUGGUUAAAGUGCAUCGCCCAAUGCAGUGGCUGAGAUA
Molecule: RNA transcript, 2062 nt
Organism: Triticum aestivum (bread wheat)
Lineage: Eukaryota; Viridiplantae; Streptophyta; Magnoliopsida; Poales; Poaceae
Gene name: LOB domain-containing protein 40
Exons: 3
Source: RefSeq, a predicted model, not a curated record